This 173-nucleotide ribosomal RNA is filed under the name uncultured bacterium. RNAcentral's name for it is "partial 16S ribosomal RNA". It matches the Rfam family "Bacterial small subunit ribosomal RNA", at positions 335 to 524 of the family's 1533-position model. The record is from RNAcentral.
ACCCCUACGGGAGGCAGCAGUCGGGAAUAUUGCGCAAUGGAGGAAACUCUGACGCAGUGACGCCGCGUGCAGGAAGAAGGUUUUCGGAUUGUAAACUGCUUUAGACAGGGAAGAAGAAUGACAGUACCUGUAGAAUAAGCUCCGGCUAACUACGUGCCAGCAGCCGCGGUAAU